AGAGUUUGAUUCUGGCUCAGGAUGAACGCUGGCGGCAUGCCUAAUACAUGCAAGUCGAACGAAGUGAAGAUAGCUUGCUAUUGGAACUUAGUGGCGAACGGGUGAGUAACACGUAGAUAACCUGCCUGUAUGACCGGGAUAACAGUUGGAAACGACUGCUAAUACCGGAUAGGCAGAGAGGAGGCAUCUCUUCUCUGUUAAAGUUGGGACACAACGCAAACAGAUGGAUCUGCGGUGCAUUAGCUAGUUGGUGAGGUAACGGCCCACCAAGGCGAUGAUGCAUAGCCGGCCUGAGAGGGCGAACGGCCACAUUGGGACUGAGACACGGCCCAAACUCCUACGGGAGGCAGCAGUAGGGAAUUUUCGGCAAUGGGGGAAACCCUGACCGAGCAAUGCCGCGUGAGUGAAGACGGCCUUCGGGUUGUAAAGCUCUGUUGUAAGGGAAGAACGGCAUAGAGAGGGAAUGCUCUAUGAGUGACGGUACCUUACCAGAAAGCCACGGCUAACUACGUGCCAGCAGCCGCGGUAAUACGUAGGUGGCAAGCGUUAUCCGGAAUUAUUGGGCGUAAAGGGUGCGUAGGCGGCGAGAUAAGUCUGAGGUAAAAGCCCGUGGCUCAACCACGGUAAGCCUUGGAAACUGUCUGGCUGGAGUGCAGGAGAGGACAAUGGAAUUCCAUGUGUAGCGGUAAAAUGCGUAGAUAUAUGGAGGAACACCAGUGGCGAAGGCGGUUGUCUGGCCUGUAACUGACGCUGAAGCACGAAAGCGUGGGGAGCAAAUAGGAUUAGAUACCCUAGUAGUCCA
RNAcentral lists this ribosomal RNA (802 nucleotides) under uncultured bacterium. Its description in RNAcentral is "bacterial SSU rRNA". It matches the Rfam family "Bacterial small subunit ribosomal RNA", at positions 8 to 797 of the family's 1533-position model. The record is from RNAcentral.